GUGGGGAAUUUUGGACAAUGGGGGCAACCCUGAUCCAGCCAUGCCGCGUGAGUGAAGAAGGCCUUCGGGUUGUAAAGCUCUUUCGGUGGGAACGAAACGGGGCGGGUGAACAACGCGCCUCAAUGACGGUACUCACAGAAGAAGCACCGGCUAACUACGUGCCAGCAGCCGCGGUAAUACGUAGGGUGCGAGCGUUAAUCGGAAUUACUGGGCGUAAAGCGUGCGCAGGCGGUCUCGCAAGCUGGGUGUGAAAGCCCCGGGCUUAACCUGGGAGGUGCAUUCAGGACUGUGAGGCUUGGAGUGCGGCAGAGGGAGGUGGAAUUCCAGGUGUAGCAGUGAAAUGCGUAGAGAUCUGGAGGAACACCGAUGGCGAAGGCAGCCUCCUGGGCCGACACUGACGCUCAAGCACGAAAGCGUGGGGAGCAAACAGGAUUAGAUACCCUUGUAGUCC
Molecule: ribosomal RNA, 451 nt
Filed under: uncultured bacterium
Lineage: Bacteria
Description: bacterial SSU rRNA
Rfam family: Bacterial small subunit ribosomal RNA
Source: RNAcentral